Molecule: unclassified non-coding RNA, 234 nt
Filed under: Hevea brasiliensis (rubber tree)
Lineage: Eukaryota; Viridiplantae; Streptophyta; Magnoliopsida; Malpighiales; Euphorbiaceae
Source: RNAcentral
AAUGCCAUUGUAAAUUACUAACUUUUGUUAAAAAAAAUGUCAUAUAUUUUUGAAGAAAUAGUGCAUUUCAACUUCGUCUGUGUGAGUGUAAAAAAUCUUGAGACGAUGCUGUGCACCUGCCUGCAAAUUUUUGAAAAACCAUUUCCAACAGGUGGCAUUUAUAGAUCUGCAUUGUUAUGAUGAACUGCACAAUUUCUCAACUUAUAGCCCUGGGUAUUUUCCAUCUUUGAUUGG